UAUACACCUCAGGUAUAGAUACACGGACUUUCGCGAUGAAGAACUACCUACCCUUUCACACAGUAUUUCAGAUGCUAUGCUGUUGCUGUUGCUGUCCCCAAAAACAAGAAUCAUGGCUCGUUGAGGAAAAGAAUCAGACUGUAGAAUACAGAGACAAACAAAGAGGGAGAGUAAUGGUGUAUGACUAUAACACCCGCCAUGGCGACCUGGAUAUUUGCUUGAAUGAUAAUACAAGGAGUCUCCAGUUAUAUGGCUUAGGGUUACAGAGCAACUUUGGCUUGCCUCUAGCAUAACAAGAUCUAAAGACCCUACAGUCAGAGGAGUCUACGGAACUUAUCUAAUACGGACUGGCCAGUGUUGACGGGCGCUUGCAAUCUCCAUUUAUAUGACGUUGUGAUAUGUACAUAUUUAGGCUUUGAAUAUGUCCCGGGAAACUGGAACAUGUAUUCCCUUCGCGUUGUUUAUCUGUAUGGUUUUGUUCCCUAAUAUGUUAAUUCUAAAAGGUCAAAUGACCUUCAAAUGUCCUUAUCAAUGUAUUACAAUUAAGUCAGUAAAAACGCUGUACAAGGUCAAUAACUAGAUCAUCAUAAUUCUAAAUAUAUGCUAAAACCAGGUCAGUUUCAUGAUAUAAAUAAGUGAGAACUAGGUCAGCUUAAAUCAUGCUAAAAUCAAAAUCUUUGUCAGCAUCAUGCUUAAAUCAAUAAACAAGUGAGAACUAGGUCAGCUUCAUGCUAAAAUCAAAAUCUAGUUAGAAUCAUGCUGGAAUCAAAAUAUAACUAGGUCAACUUCAUGCUUUAAAUAAGUUAUAUCUAGACCAAGGUCGUGUCAUUGAUUGUUAGGUUUACAAUUCCGCAUUGAUUGAUAGAGGAGAGUUAGUCAAAUUCAACAUGUGUCCAAUGUUUAUCCACACAAAUGUAUGCCAAACUAAUAUGCACGAAUAGGUUAUUCGAAGAUUUAAAUACACAAACCUCUAAUACCAAAGUUUUACUUUUUACACAAAAUUGUUUGUGUAAAAAGUAAAACUUUGACAUGACAUAUUUCCAAACCUCCAUAUCAUGUUUUUGCGCAUUCAAUAGACAGAUAUUUGAUAUUCACAAUCAUGUACAUAAUUAUUUAACUAUCUUAAUUUAUUUUUCGGGAUGUGAAAUGACAUUAAGAGAGUGAAAACACAUUCCAAAGAUCAGGACCAGUUGUUAUAAAAAUUGAUAUAAAAGGGAACAUCUCUCGAUCCUGUGUUGGUAGAGUUUGUGAGAUACUUACUAUUUGUACUGCCGAUCUAACCUUACUAAUAUCUGUGUAUUACCUGUAUCGUGUAAGUAACAUUGAUAUAAUGUGCUAUUCUGUAUAAUGAGGUUUUCCUCAUUUUUAUCAUCUUAUGACUUUCUUUAUACCGAAAUGUUUUCUGAACCUUUGUGCUUUGAUUAUCUGUUUUAAAAUGUAUGACAUUGCUUGUGUUUGUCAUUAUAAUGUGUUGAUAUGACGGUGAAUCCAGACCGUGGUUGCUCAAAGGUUGGUUUACAUAAACCAGUAGUGAAAAAUGGCUCUCAAAACAAAACAAAUCCCCAAACACAUAAGUUUGAUCUGUCUCAAUUAAUCUAUAGCA
Molecule: long non-coding RNA, 1603 nt
Organism: Mizuhopecten yessoensis (Yesso scallop)
Lineage: Eukaryota; Metazoa; Mollusca; Bivalvia; Pectinida; Pectinidae
Exons: 3
Source: RefSeq, a predicted model, not a curated record